RNAcentral lists this ribosomal RNA (469 nucleotides) under uncultured organism. Its description in RNAcentral is "partial 16S ribosomal RNA". It matches the Rfam family "Bacterial small subunit ribosomal RNA", at positions 335 to 796 of the family's 1533-position model. The record is from RNAcentral.
ACUCCUACGGGAGGCAGCAGUGGGGAAUUUUGGACAAUGGGCGAAAGCCUGAUCCAGCCAUGCCGCGUGCAGGAUGAAGGCCUUCGGGUUGUAAACUGCUUUUGUACGGAACGAAACGGCCUUUUCUAAUAAAGAGGGCUAAUGACGGUACCGUAAGAAUAAGCACCGGCUAACUACGUGCCAGCAGCCGCGGUAAUACGUAGGGUGCAAGCGUUAAUCGGAAUUACUGGGCGUAAAGCGUGCGCAGGCGGUUAUGUAAGACAGUUGUGAAAUCCCCGGGCUCAACCUGGGAACUGCAUCUGUGACUGCAUAGCUAGAGUACGGUAGAGGGGGAUGGAAUUCCGCGUGUAGCAGUGAAAUGCGUAGAUAUGCGGAGGAACACCGAUGGCGAAGGCAAUCCCCUGGACCUGUACUGACGCUCAUGCACGAAAGCGUGGGGAGCAAACAGGAUUAGAAACCCGAGUAGUCC